This 327-nucleotide ribosomal RNA is filed under the name Triticum aestivum (bread wheat). RNAcentral's name for it is "partial small subunit ribosomal RNA". Lineage: Eukaryota; Viridiplantae; Streptophyta; Magnoliopsida; Poales; Poaceae. The record is from RNAcentral.
AUGAUGAACCGUUGGGAAAUGAAUAAGUUUGACUUGAAAACAAUAGUCGGUGAAGCACUACAAUCUGGUCGACUACCGUUGGCAGUUCUUCAGCUGCAACUGUUGCGCCAGAGGGAAUCAUGUUCUGGUGAUGAUUUUGAUGAUGUUUUCUCCGAAGUUCAUGAAAUAGGAAGAUCCAUUGUUUAUGAUCUGUUAAUGAAGGGUGAAAGUGGACUGGCUGUAGCGACACUAGAAAGACUAGGAGAUGACAUAGAGUCGGACCUUAGACAACUUAUGCAAGGUACUGUCAGACGAGAUGAAACAGCGUGGGUACAUGCAAUCAAAUGA